RNAcentral lists this long non-coding RNA (1155 nucleotides) under Mus spicilegus (steppe mouse). RNAcentral's name for it is "lncRNA (ENSMSIG00000025174.1)". Lineage: Eukaryota; Metazoa; Chordata; Mammalia; Rodentia; Muridae. The record is from RNAcentral.
GUGUGGGGGAAGGUGCUGGCUGCCAAGUGUGAAGACCUGAGCUCCAUCUCCAGGACCCACACGGAGGAAGGAGAGGACUGAAAGCAGGAAGCUUUCUUGUCAUCUCUGCUCACGCUGCCUCAGGACUAGCUAUAUGAUCCUGUGCAAGCUCCUUAAUCUUCUCCUGCCUCAGUUUCCCCACAACUGAAGUGAGGGGUUGGGUGGGGGAUAACAGCUCCUUUUGCUCGGAUGAAGUUGAGCAGAUGGGAUGAGAGUCGAGCUGAGCUGGACCCUGCUGCCUUAACUGACGAAAAUCUCGGUGCUUUACACCCACAGAGGUGCUAUCUGUCCUUGUGGGCUGACAGUAGGCUCCACAGUGAGAGAGAGAGAGACUCCAUCGCCUGUGAUGGUCGUUUUUGUGGGGGAAAGGGGAAACUGAGGCAUCAUGCAAGAGCUCUUAAUGACUUUUUGUCCCGAAUUUCACUUCUGCUCGUCUGCGCAUUGGCUAGGGUGAAGCAAUCCCACCUUCCUCCUGGAGGCAAGAGAACCGGGAUUCUGGCAAUCCUUCUGACAACCAAGUGAAUCUGAAUUCAAAGCAAGCCCAGAGACUGGAAACUUAACAUUCCAAGAGCAAGCAAGAUUGCCCCCUAGUGUCCAAUGUAGAUAACAGCAUCCUAAACAGCUCACUGAAGAAUGAAGGAGACAAUCGGAUAUUUUGUAUAAAAAUGUCAAAAUGGGGCCCAGCAUGGUGCUACACACUUUCAGCCCUUGGGAAGUACAAGCUGGAAGACCUCAGUGAGUUCGAGGCCAGAUUUAUCUACACAGCAAGCUCUAGGAUAACCAGGACUAAAGAGAUCCUGUCUCAAAAAAAAAAAAAUUAAAUUAAAUUAUAAUUAAAAAAAAGAGUGGCAAAAUGGAUUUGUAACAGAUUCCUUCGCCCACAAUCCGUUUAAAGACAAUAUUUAUGUAAUAAGCACACCGAGGGCUACCUAAGGAAGAGUAAGCUCUCCUGUCUCUUAUUUUCUCCAACCUAGUGGAAGGAAGCAUAGGUAUUAGAGAAAUCCCUUCAGUGUCUGGAACACAUCAGGCUGUAAGUGUAUACUCGCUGCAACUGAGCAUCAGGACCAGAAACAAGUGAGACCACCUGGCAGUGAGUUCUUCUCUCCCUUAGUUAAA